This 497-nucleotide ribosomal RNA is filed under the name uncultured bacterium. RNAcentral describes it as "partial 16S ribosomal RNA". It matches the Rfam family "Bacterial small subunit ribosomal RNA", at positions 28 to 507 of the family's 1533-position model. The record is from RNAcentral.
GAUGAACGCUGGCGGCGUGCCUAAUACAUGCAAGUCGAGCGAACAGAUAAGGAGCUUGCUCCUUUGACGUUAGCGGCGGACGGGUGAGUAACACGUGGGUAACCUACCUAUAAGACUGGGAUAACUUCGGGAAACCGGAGCUAAUACCGGAUAACAUUUGGAACCGCAUGGUUCUAAAGUGAAAGAUGGUUUUGCUAUCACUUAUAGAUGGACCCGCGCCGUAUUAGCUAGUUGGUAAGGUAACGGCUUACCAAGGCAACGAUACGUAGCCGACCUGAGAGGGUGAUCGGCCACACUGGAACUGAGACACGGUCCAGACUCCUACGGGAGGCGGCAGUAGGGAAUCUUCCGCAAUGGGCGAAAGCCUGACGGAGCAACGCCGCGUGAGUGAUGAAGGGUUUCGGCUCGUAAAACUCUGUUAUUAGGGAAGAACAAACGUGUAAGUAACUGUGCACGUCUUGACGGUACCUAAUCAGAAAGCCACGGCUAACUACGUG